RNAcentral lists this ribosomal RNA (395 nucleotides) under Streptococcus pneumoniae. RNAcentral's name for it is "bacterial SSU rRNA". It matches the Rfam family "Bacterial small subunit ribosomal RNA", at positions 383 to 774 of the family's 1533-position model. The record is from RNAcentral. Lineage: Bacteria; Bacillati; Bacillota; Bacilli; Lactobacillales; Streptococcaceae.
CUGACGAGCACGCCGCGUGAGUGAGAGGUUUUCGGAUCGUAAAGCUCUGUUGUAAGAGAAGAACGAGUGUGAGAGUGGAAAGUUCACACUGUGACGGUAUCUUACCAGAAAGGGACGGCUAACUACGUGCCAGCAGCCGCGGUAAUACGUAGGUCCCGAGCGUUGUCCGGAUUUAUUGGGCGUAAAGCGAGCGCAGGCGGUUAGAUAAGUCUGAAGUUAAAGGCUGUGGCUUAACCAUAGUAGGCUUUGGAAACUGUUUAACUUGAGUGCAAGAGGGGAGAGUGGAAUUCCAUGUGUAGCGGUGAAAUGCGUAGAUAUAUGGAGGAACACCGGUGGCGAAAGCGGCUCUCUGGCUUGUAACUGACGCUGAGGCUCGAAAGCGUGGGGAGCAAACA